Molecule: long non-coding RNA, 1031 nt
Organism: Poecilia latipinna (sailfin molly)
Lineage: Eukaryota; Metazoa; Chordata; Actinopteri; Cyprinodontiformes; Poeciliidae
Exons: 2
Source: RefSeq, a predicted model, not a curated record
ACUUUUUCCUGCUUCUCUCCUCCUAUUAUUCCUGCACUUUAGAGGCAGUUCCUGCUUCGGUGAACUGACCAUACAGUACAUGACUUGAUCUGACCUGAAAGCUACAGGCUACAGCUAUUAUUGCAAUAUUAGAGACCAAGAGUGAGGAAAUGGAGAUAGGCGGGGGGUUGGGGGGGGGGGGGGACAGAAUGAGUCAGGCAAUCCCAAGUAUGGCGUAAUUCAACAAUGCCGGAGCCGUCACCAGCCCCAUAUCCUGAGGUUCUGAGAGGACGGAGAGAAAGUGGGGUUUUGUGAGGGUGGGAGAAAGUGAGGGAGGAGAGGUUAGUCCCAUCAGUCAAGAGGAGAAGGCGUGCAUUUGUGCGCUGCAUCGUUUGAUGUUCUCCCCGGUUUCUCUCCCUCCACUUCAUCCCGAACCUCCAGAGUAGCUUUUCCAGAAACCGGGGUGGGCAAAUCAAAGCGACUAAGAGGACUCUCGUUUUGCGGGAGGAGUCGAGGUCGACUUAGUGUCUGGAAUCCUAACAGUGUGCGGCACACCGGUCAGCGAAGCCUCGCCGGUCACUUCGCUGUGGAUAAGUCACUCAGCGGGAGCCCCGCCGUUCGCCAAAGACGCGUCGCUUAUCUGCGUCCCGCACCGGCUCAUAAAGCUGCCCCACUGUCAUGAAUUAUUCAGCCAGUCAAUACAGGUGACUCCAGUGUCCCUCUUUUUUUUUUAUUUAUUUAUUUAUUUAUUUUUUUAUUUCUACUCGUUACUGAAGUCUUUGAGAGUGGCAGGAAAAGACAGAAACUAGCAUUGUGCGCGCAGGAGGCGGGUGUCGGUGUCAAAGAUGCAGGUGGGUCGGUGCUGUGUGGCUUCCAGCGUUUGGUCUAUGUGGCUGCUCUUACUUUUCUCAACUCAAAACAUCGGGGCAACUGGAGUUGGAGGCACCCACCAGAGCAUCCCCCCGUCCGUGGUUAAGCUCUGGGCCUCUGCAUUUGGUGGGGAGAUGAAGUCCAUCUCUGCAAAGUACUCUGGGUCCCAGCUUCUGCAAAAG